Molecule: ribosomal RNA, 361 nt
Filed under: Salmonella enterica
Lineage: Bacteria; Pseudomonadati; Pseudomonadota; Gammaproteobacteria; Enterobacterales; Enterobacteriaceae
Also listed under: 1 other name
Description: partial 23S ribosomal RNA
Rfam family: Bacterial large subunit ribosomal RNA
Source: RNAcentral
CCGGCUUACCAACCCGAUGCAAACUGCGAAUACCGGAGAAUGUUAUCACGGGAGACACACGGCGGGUGCUAACGUCCGUCGUGAAGAGGGAAACAACCCAGACCGCCAGCUAAGGUCCCAAAGUCAUGGUUAAGUGGGAAACGAUGUGGGAAGGCCCAGACAGCCAGGAUGUUGGCUUAGAAGCAGCCAUCAUUUAAAGAAAGCGUAAUAGCUCACUGGUCGAGUCGGCCUGCGCGGAAGAUGUAACGGGGCUAAACCAUGCACCGAAGCUGCGGCAGCGACACUGUGUGUUGUUGGGUAGGGGAGCGUUCUGUAAGCCUGUGAAGGUGUGUCGUGAGGCAUGCUGGAGGUAUCAGAAGUG